CUCUCGCAUCGAUGAAGAACGCAGCGAAAUGCGAUAAGUAAUGUGAAUUGCAGAAUUCAGUGAAUCAUCGAAUCUUUGAACGCACCUUGCGCUCCUUGGUAUUCCGAGGAGCAUGCCUGUUUGAGUGUCAUGGAAUUCUCAACUCUGUUUGCUUUUGUGAAUAGAGCUUGGACUUGGAGGUUUAUUGCCGGUACCUGUGAUCGGCUCCUCUUGAAUGCAUUAGCUCGAACCUUUUGUGGAUCAGCUUAUCGGUGUGAUAAAAAUGUCUACGCCGUUACUGUGAAGCAUAUUAUUCGGCUUCCAAUCGUCCUUCACGGGACAAUAACUUUGACCUUUGACCUCAAAUCAGGUAGGAUUACCCGCUGAACUUAAGCAUAUCAAUAAGCGGAGGAAAAGAAACUAACAAGGAUUCCCCUAGUAACUGCGAGUGAAGCGGGAAAAGCUCAAAUUUAAAAUCUGGCGGUCUUUGGCCGUCCGAGUUGUAGUCUGGAGAAGCGUUUUCCGCGC
RNAcentral lists this ribosomal RNA (507 nucleotides) under uncultured fungus. Its description in RNAcentral is "eukaryotic LSU rRNA". The stretch from base 336 to 507 matches the Rfam family "Eukaryotic large subunit ribosomal RNA", at positions 1 to 170 of the family's 3401-position model. The record is from RNAcentral. Lineage: Eukaryota; Fungi.